GAUGAACGCUGGCGGCGUGCCUAAUACAUGCAAGUCGAACGCAUUUUCUUUCACCGUAGCUUGCUACGCCGAAAGAAAAUGAGUGGCGAACGGGUGAGUAACACGUGGGUAACCUGCCCAUCAGCGGGGGAUAACACUUGGAAACAGGUGCUAAUACCGCAUAAUUCCAUUUACCGCAUGGCAGAUGGAUGAAAGGCGCUUUUGCGUCACUGAUGGAUGGACCCGCGGUGCAUUAGCUAGUUGUGGGUAACGCCUACCAAGGCUGCGAUGCAUAGCCGACCUGAGAGGGUGAUCGGGCCACACUGGGACUGGAGACACGGGCCCAGACUCCUACGGGAGCAGCAGUAGGGAAUC
Molecule: ribosomal RNA, 354 nt
Filed under: uncultured bacterium
Lineage: Bacteria
Description: bacterial SSU rRNA
Rfam family: Bacterial small subunit ribosomal RNA
Source: RNAcentral